UGUGUGUACGACGAUGAGAUUGAAGACGCUGGCUGAGAUUUGAUCAGCCACCCACUCUGGAGCAAUGGUUUGAGAAGAUCUACAAGAUUCUCUUGCUUCACUUGUGUUAGUUGAGCACCCAACAUUUCAUAAUCAAAAUGCACAUGUGUGUGUUAGUUAAGCUCCCUCUGGCCCAGCUUUGUCAUUCACAAAAUAAUGAAACAACCAAUCAAAUAAACAGACACAAAGUGAAAUUAAAAACUAAUUUGCAAACCUGCAAUGUGGAUGUCAAAAUUGGAAGGACAUAUCUCUAAGGUGUGCGGCGACUCUGACGAGGAGAGAAGAAAAAUCUGAAAUUAGAAAUAAAAUACAAAACAAAGAACAGAGAAAAAAAAUUCACGGUGUUGGGAAUCGCCACCAUGGACACAUACCAAAGGGUGUGCAACGAUUUUCUUUCGGUUCAUGAUCUUGACCACCGAUGGCAACGAGGGU
RNAcentral lists this long non-coding RNA (471 nucleotides) under Glycine max (soybean). Its description in RNAcentral is "long non-coding RNA (GMAX_LNC002154)". The record is from RNAcentral. Lineage: Eukaryota; Viridiplantae; Streptophyta; Magnoliopsida; Fabales; Fabaceae.